AUUGAACGCUGGCGGCAUGCUUUACACAUGCAAGUCGAACGGCAGCGCGGGCUUCGGCCUGGCGGCGAGUGGCGAACGGGUGAGUAAUGCAUCGGAACGUGCCCAGUAGUGGGGGAUAGCCCGGCGAAAGCCGGAUUAAUACCGCAUACGACCUGAGGGUGAAAGCGGGGGACCGAAAGGCCUCGCGCUAUUGGAGCGGCCGAUGUCGGAUUAGCUAGUUGGUGGGGUAAAGGCUUACCAAGGCGACGAUCCGUAGCUGGUCUGAGAGGACGACCAGCCACACUGGGACUGAGGCACGGCCCAGACUCCUACGGGAGGCAGCAGUGGGGAAUUUUGGACAAUGGGGGCAACCCUGAUCCAGCCAUGCCGCGGGCGGGAAGAAGGCCUUCGGGUUGUAAACCGCUUUUGUUCGGGAAGAAAUCCUCUGGGCUAAUACCCCGGGGGGAUGACGGUACCGGAAGAAUAAGCACCGGCUAACUACGUG
Molecule: ribosomal RNA, 484 nt
Filed under: uncultured bacterium
Lineage: Bacteria
Description: partial 16S ribosomal RNA
Rfam family: Bacterial small subunit ribosomal RNA
Source: RNAcentral